UCUGACAUUCUUGGGUGGGUGAGUGGACCAUGUCACAGCCAUAUCUCUGUAGGUCUCCCAGCAGAACCCCGCUCCAGAGUGGAUAAAUGGCCAUAUAAUUGUCCAGAAGAAAACUGAUCAUUUCCGGGCAGUAAUAUGGAUUUGCUUGAUUUGAAUCAUUUUCACCCUCCACAACAGCACUGACUUCAUCACAAAUGUUUCUGAACAUUUUGGAGUAUGAGGAAUCACCAACAAUUGUUGCAGAUGUACUGUCACUCACCUCCACCUUUUCUAGGACCUCACCUGUGGUAUCCUGCAGAAUGCCACCUUCUUUGUAAAUUAGGGCUUCUAAAAAACAAAGACUUUCUUUCACAGUUUCAGUGAAAUGCCUUGCAGUAAAAACUGUGCAGAAUGAUUUAAAAAUUCUCAGAGCAUCAUCAAGGCUAUCUGUGUUUUGUAGUCUUGCAAAAACGUAAGUGGCAAAGUUUUUAAGACCUUUAUCGGAUGACCUCUUUUGGAAGGCUAAAGUCACGGCUUUGAUAAUAUGGGCAGAACACAAAUGUAAAACCGUUGUGUGUUUAAUUUCUGCCCAUGUUUUCUGCUUCUGACAGAUGGCAAAUGUUCUCUCAAGGUAAGCGGUGAUGCUUUCCUUGCUGAAAGCAAGGAGAACAGCCUGCAUUAUUGCCCAGCUAAAGUCUGUUUCCACUUGAUGUAUGUGCUGAUUUGUUUAUUUAGAAAGUUUGAGGAGGAACUGCAUUAACCAGUAUGUUAUUGGCGGUACAGAAUGUUCACUGGAUAUCAUUUCGGAAACUGGCAGCGGCGGAGCAUCUCUUCCUUUUCCCGGUAAGGUGUGCUCCAAACGGGUCUAUCUGUAAGUGUUGCACAUAACCAGGAGCAAAGUAUGAGCCAGUAUCACACUGUUUGAUGAUAGACUGGGAUGUUCUUAUUCAGACUGUGGCUGAUGUUUCCCGCUAAAAGUUCUUG
Danio aesculapii is the source of this 963-nucleotide long non-coding RNA. RefSeq lists it as uncharacterized. The transcript has 3 exons. Lineage: Eukaryota; Metazoa; Chordata; Actinopteri; Cypriniformes; Danionidae. The record is from RefSeq and is a predicted model, not a curated record.